GAUGAAGAACGUAGCGAAAUGCGAAAAGUAAUGUGAAUUGCAGAAUUCAGUGAAUCAUCGAAUCUUCGAACGCACAUUGCGCCCGCCAGUAUUCUGGCGGGCAUGCCUGUCUGAGCGUCAUUUCAACCCUCAUGCCCCUAGGGCGUGGUGUUGGGGAUCGGCCAGCGCCCGCGAGGGACGGCCGGCCCCUAAAUCUAGUGGCGGACCCGUCGUGGCCUCCCCUGCGAAGUAGUGAUAUUCCGCAUAGGAGAGCGACGAGCCCCUGCCGUUAAACCCCCAACUUUCUAAGGUUGACCUCAGAUCAGGUAGGAAUACCCGCUGAACUUAAGCAUAUCAAUAAGCGGAGGA
Molecule: unclassified non-coding RNA, 348 nt
Filed under: soil metagenome
Description: partial contains 5.8S ribosomal RNA, internal transcribed spacer 2, and large subunit ribosomal RNA
Rfam family: 5.8S ribosomal RNA (bases 1-120)
Source: RNAcentral